This 19-nucleotide small nuclear RNA is filed under the name Arabidopsis thaliana (thale cress). Its description in RNAcentral is "snRNA_01115". Lineage: Eukaryota; Viridiplantae; Streptophyta; Magnoliopsida; Brassicales; Brassicaceae. The record is from RNAcentral.
UCUACGCCUAGGACACCAG